RNAcentral lists this ribosomal RNA (492 nucleotides) under uncultured bacterium. RNAcentral describes it as "partial 16S ribosomal RNA". It matches the Rfam family "Bacterial small subunit ribosomal RNA", at positions 30 to 507 of the family's 1533-position model. The record is from RNAcentral.
AUUGAACGCUGGCGGCAGGCCUAACACAUGCAAGUCGAACGGCAGCAUCGUACAAGGUGGCGAUUACGGGUGUAGAGUGGCGGACUGUGUCGGAAUAUACCGAAUUGUACUGUUUAGCUGGGGAUAAGAUAGGGUAAUACCCGAUAAUACCGCAUUCGACCUGCGGGGGACAGCAAGGGAUCUUCUGACUUGGCGCGAUGGUGUUAGCCUAUGUAGGUUUUGGUAGAUGGCGGGGUCAAGGCACACCUAGGCGACGAUGCGUAGCUGGUAUGAGAGGACGACCAGCCACAUUGGGACUGAGACAGGGCCCAGACUCCUACGGGAGGCAGCAGUGGGGAAUUUUGGACAAUGGGCGCAAGCCUGAUCCAGCAAUACCGCGUGAACGAAGAAGGCCUUCGGGUUGUAAAGUGCUUUUGUACGGAAAGAAAAGCAGCUGGUUAAUACCCGGCUGUAAUGACGGUACCAAAAGAAUAAGCACCGGCUAACUUCGUG